Mauremys mutica (yellowpond turtle) is the source of this 256-nucleotide long non-coding RNA. RefSeq lists it as uncharacterized. The transcript is spliced from 3 exons. NCBI's taxonomy places the organism in Eukaryota, Metazoa, Chordata, Testudines, Geoemydidae. The record is from RefSeq and is a predicted model, not a curated record.
CAGUGAGCAGCGCAUUCUAAAGUAGGACCCUCCGCUCUGGAACUCAGCUUUAAAGCUCAACUCAAUUCUAGAGUGAUGUAGAAGAGCAUGAGACUCGAAAGCACUUCCGCUUCAAAUAGUUCUCACUUAACUCCCAGAUCUACAAGAAUUCCUGUGUUUCACACGGACAAUGGAAAAGACAAAAGAUGACACCACCGCUUGCGAUUUAUAAAGAAAAAGCACUAAUGAGAUUUAGGUGUUCUUUGAAAAAUAUAAU